Long non-coding RNA from Pezoporus occidentalis (night parrot), 1371 nucleotides. RefSeq lists it as uncharacterized. NCBI's taxonomy places the organism in Eukaryota, Metazoa, Chordata, Aves, Psittaciformes, Psittacidae. The transcript is spliced from 2 exons. The record is from RefSeq and is a predicted model, not a curated record.
ACAGUUUCUGAACAAUUUAAUAACUGAAUUAUAGAUCAGGUAUGUCUAUUUUAAAAGCAUUGUGGGUUUUUUUGGUAAGGUUUCUUAUUUGCCUAUAUACAUAUGUAGCUGCUGUUGCAUAUGAACCCCAUGAACAGCUACAGAGAUCUCCCAGAGUUCCCUAGCAGAACAUGCAAGUUUCAGUCAAACAACACUCAUGUUGCCUUUGAGUCUAGAGAAGUACAUGGGGUGAGCUGGAGAUGGCAACACAAUGGCUGCGAAAGACAACAAAGAACAACAAGCAGCAGCACACAUGAAGUAACAGCUUUUUAUAGUCCUCCCCUUUUAAAUUGAAACUCAUGGCUGCCAUAUGAUCCUGUUAUAUUUUUUGUGAGAGGAGGGUGGUUAAUUCUAGCUUCCUGGAUAAAUCUGAAUUUGAGUAAUUACAUUUUGCAUCCUUAAAAUUCCCUUGAAGGCUAAAAAGAGUAAUUUUUUUCUUCCUUUCCCUCCCUAAAACAGCUAUGUAAUGUUGUCAACAUGACUCCCCAAACCCACACUAACAAACUACAUGAUUCUCCUCAGUGGCAGUACAACACAUAAAGACUGCCGGUGAUUUUGCAUGGAUCCUCAAGACAAAACCAGGAAAAAACAGGACUUCACUUAAAUUCUCUGGAAAACAGUAUCACUGGAAAACAGGCAUUCACCUUCUGAGAGCAGACAGCAGUGUUCUCUAGAUAAAGUAAGCAAGUCUCAAAGAGAUUCAGCUUAACCAGUACCAAAUACUCCCUUAUAAGGGGUUUCUAAAAUGGGAGAUAUACAGCUAAGACAUUUAAAGGGAGACAGAUUGGAAAAAUAAAAGCAGACUUCUUCCACUACAUGCCUUUCAGCAAUCUCAAGGUUUUGGAAGCAACCUCAGACACAUGGGGUUUGUCAGCAGUUCAGUGUUUAUUGCUGGGUCUCCACACUCAGCUGCUGAGGUGAACAAUUCUGAUCCAUAUCUACCUCUUUCUCGUCUAGGGAAGUUCACAUUUAGAUUGUUUUCUUGUCAAUGGUCACAGCUAAAGCUUCACAGCAAGCCUGAGUUUUGAUUACUGCAGGAAAACAGAACAGGAGAAGCUGCAAAAUGAGAUUAUGGAGGGCCACAGAGAACACUGCCCAUGCAGGGCUCACAGGUCAUGAGCAAAAUCUUAGCCAUAGGAAAAAAAAAAGGCUGUCUAAAAAUCAGCACAGAAAAUACAGAACAUGAAUUCAGCACUGAGCUGGCCUCGUCCUAAUAAAAAGCUUAGCGAAAUCUGGAUAAGCCAAACUUUUCAGCUCAGCGUAACACGGAGAGCAGUAUGGGAUUAUAGCUAGCAAGUCCAAAUGUUACUAAAACAAUAGAUGCAAUAUAAA